This 252-nucleotide ribosomal RNA is filed under the name uncultured bacterium. RNAcentral describes it as "partial 16S ribosomal RNA". It matches the Rfam family "Bacterial small subunit ribosomal RNA", at positions 524 to 776 of the family's 1533-position model. The record is from RNAcentral.
UACGUAUGGGGCAAGCGUUGUCCGGAAUUAUUGGGCGUAAAGGGUACGUAGGCGGUUAAUUAAGUCCGAAUUAAAAGGCUGUGGCUCAACCAUGGUAAGGUUUAGAUACUGGUUAACUUGAGUAGAUGAGGGGAAAGUGGAAUUCCAUGUGUAGCGGUGAAAUGCGUAGAUAUAUGGAGGAACACCUGUGGCGAAGGCGACUUUCUAGAAUCUAACUGACGCUGAGGUACGAAGGCGUGGGGAGCAAACAGG